AUGGAAAGAUACUGGUGGAGUAACUCGAUUGAUAAGCGUUCUCUGCACUGGAUAUCUUGGAAGAGACUUUCAACACCCAAGUGUAAUGGAGGUAUGGGUUUCCGUGACCUACAUCUCUUCAACUUGGCUCUACUCGGCAAACAGGGAUGGCGGCUGUUGACAAGCCCGGACUCGUUGUGUGCUCGAGUUCUUAAGGGCAGGUAUUUCCCGGACUCGGAUUUCAUGCAAGCUUCUGUUCCUAAACGUUCAUCUGCUACUUGGAGGGCCAUUAUUUCUGGUCGGGAGGCGUUACUCACCUGACUGAUCAAGAGGGUGGGCGACGGAUCAUCAAUCUCGGUCUGGGAUGACCGUUGGAUUCCAUCUACGACAACAAUGGCGUCAUUGCUCAGGCCUCCAAACCCUAAUAUCUCUAGGGUAAGCGACCUGAUCGAUACCGGAAACUGGACAUGGCGGCGACAGUUGGUUCGGGACACAUUCAUAUUACCAGACGCGGAGGCCAUCCUCAAUAUUCCACUCCGGUCUGGUGGGGGUGAUGAUUUUCUUGCAUGGACACAUGAAACUUCAGGCAACUACACCGUUAAAUCGGCGUACCGAGCUCUUAUGAUUCGUAACGAGCGUCAAGAUCUAGAAGAAGGGCCGGAUACCGGAUCCUCGAUUGAUAAUCAGCGGCUGUGGAAUGGCUUGUUGAAGUUAAAUGUGAUGCCAAAAGUGAGAGUGUUCUUCUGGCGGGUGCUUAGGGGAAUUCUGCUUGAUGAGUGUACCCUAAAGCACCGGCAUUUGCGCCAGAUAGGACUUUGCAAAAUAUGCAUGGCGAUGGAUGGGGACAUGGGGCACGCUCUGUUGAUAUGCUCACACGCAAGGAAAUUUUGGGAUGAAGCCUAA
Molecule: ribosomal RNA, 882 nt
Filed under: Triticum aestivum (bread wheat)
Lineage: Eukaryota; Viridiplantae; Streptophyta; Magnoliopsida; Poales; Poaceae
Description: partial small subunit ribosomal RNA
Source: RNAcentral